UAGCCACGCUCCAGACUGUCUGUGGAUUGCACUGUGAACAGACACCAUCCGCCCACCGCUGAGGCUGGGGUGGGUGUGAAGGGACUGCAGCCUCGAAGCAGGUUCACUGACUAAAAAACCUCCCCUACGAUCAAAGCCCAGUCGCUAUUUGAAGGUUAUGGAGCUGCUGCUGCAGCGGCAGCAUGGGACGAGUCUCUGAAUGGUAACAAGCUUUAUUCAUUUUUUUUUUGAUUCUCGCCGUUGCCAGGGCGACGGGGAUGAUCAGAGCCACAAUGGAGCUACAAAUGUGUACUGCACAGUUGCGAUGAUGGAGGGCUUGAUAGAGGGCAACGCUCCCUAAAACCGCGAUAUAACAGUCACGAUGAACUAUUUUUCUGGGUUCAGCCAACAACGUCUCGUCUCCGAGUCAAAAGAUCGAGCAUCCGAGCUACACUCCAGGAACUGAACACAUGCCCCAACCAGGGACUCACAGUAUCAUUUGAAAGCAAGGUGUUAUCUUUCAGAUUAGCUGUUGAAUCAAGGAGCGAUCUGCUUGCUGAGCCAAAUGUAAAAGAUCCCAUGGCGUUACCUGAAGAAGGAGAUUGAAUUCUCAUGGUAUCUUGGCCAAUGUCCAUCCGUCAAAUAGACAGAUAGUCGGACAAUUUACUCACUUGGGACUUUCAGCGUGAAAAGCAGCCCUGCUUUAUCUCUGGCAUAUCGUGACGGCAGUUGAAGAAUUGCCCAAUUUCAGCCCUUUAUCUGGAUGGUUCAAAGAGUUUACAUGGCAUUCAUCUCAUGUUUCGCUUGGGCAGCUUACAACCCAGCGGUAUGAAUAUUGACUUCUCCAACUUCCAAGUAACCCUUGCUUUCCCACUCUCUCCAUCCCUCCCCCACCCUAGUUCUCCGACUAGUUUCACUGUCCACCUGAUUAAUUUAACUGAUUGGACGCCUCAUUGUCACCUUCCCCUCAGCUAACGAUGGACCUUUCUACAUCUCCCUUGAUCACCGUCCGCUUUGAUCUGCCCUUUUCACACCUCUCCCUUACGUGUCUCUAGACUCCCUCUCCCCUGAAUUCGAGAUUCCAGCUACCAAGGCAGAUGUGUACAGCAAUUCGUUCUUCCCCCGCACAAUUAGAGCAUGGAAUAAU
This is a long non-coding RNA of Amblyraja radiata (thorny skate), 1126 nucleotides long. RefSeq lists it as uncharacterized. The record is from RefSeq and is a predicted model, not a curated record. The transcript has 3 exons. NCBI's taxonomy places the organism in Eukaryota, Metazoa, Chordata, Chondrichthyes, Rajiformes, Rajidae.